GAUGAGGUCUCAACUCUAGAAGAAUGAUUACCCACCUCUGUUUUUAUGAUACCUCAGGGCAUCUCCAGUUAUUCGGGCACCAAUGUGAUAUUUCCAAAUCAAAACUAAUUUGUACACUGACAUCUUAAUGUGUGUGUGAAGGCAUGUUUUUACUUUUUUUUUUCUCCACGGACUCUUUUUUUUCUCUAGGACUCUUGUUUUUUCUUUUGUCUUUUUUUAAACAGGUUCUCUCUCUGUUGCCCCAGGCUGGUCUUGAACUCCUGGGCUCAAGCAAUCUUCUCUUUUCAGCCUCUCUGGGAUUACAGGCAUACACUGCUAUCUUGUCUUUUUUUUUUUUUUGAACAAAUAAUGUGCCCUACCUUCAAAAAGUUUGAUGACUACUAAUUUAAUAUACCACAUGGUAGAAUUUUCCGUUGUUUUUUGACUUUUUCCAUUGUCCUCUUUUCCCCAAGUGAAGAUCCCAACAGAUUGUGCUGGGUGGGGGUUGGCAAUGGGGUCAGAUAGUAAAGGGUCAGAAUUUCUAAGCAGGCACUGUGAAGGUGUCCCACUAUUAUACAGCAAUCUCUUGAGUCAAAUGUCAACUCUCCUUUUCUCUUUGUGCUGCCUCCCUCACACCCUCAUCCCUGCAGUUGGGUCAGAAAGUGGUAGAUCUGAUGUUCUGUGCCAGGGUUUCUUAAAGGAAAAAGCUCAAUUUUUGGACAAAGUUAAAAAAAGGAUGAUGCCAACGUACUCUCAGUCAAGGGCUGCCAGCAGGCAGAGAAAUGCCUUUCUGGAAUGACGUGGAUGUAGGGAUUAAGAGGACCAGAGGAGAGGCCUUUGCUUUACUUGCCACCAACAACUAAAUUAAGCUCUUGAAUCUUGGUCAGUGCUGGCUCACUUCACGUGUGCAUUUCUCAGCACAUAUACGAAAUGAGCCAGCACAGACAGGAUCCCUUUGGGGCAGAAAUAUUUAGUGUCUUUGUAUGGUCUCUGUGGGGAAGGCUGAUAGUGCCUUUCUCCAUCAUGAAAGUGCAUUUCUCCAUCAUGAAGGUGUAGAUAUGAGCGGUAGUACUGUGGUUGCUGGCGGUGUGUGCACCCAGAGAAUGUGUGUGGUGCACACUCCUGGCAUUUGCAUUCUUCUGUGUGUGGGGUAUGCACCCUUGCAUUCUUUUACACACACUCUUUCUUACAUGUGCUCUUGGGAGUGGGGUGGGUGAAGCAGGAUUCAUUUUUGUUUUUAAUUACUGAAGUCCUACACUCCUCCAAAAGGAGCAGCUUAGUGGAAACCAAUAAAAAUUGAAGCGGGGUGGUUGCCAAAACCCCAGCUCCCCGGAGAGCGCAGGUGGAAAGAAGAGAUCAGAGCCCCAGGCAAAGGCAGCAAGACUCCACAGUUCCUCCAAAACUCCCCGCAAAAAGGGAUCCUUCCCCCAUCCCUCCAGCCCCCCAGGUCGCUGCCCCUUUGAUUAAUGGUAUGGAGCUCAAAUAAAUCAUUUAGGGAAGCCCAUUAUGGAGUCCCCUCAGGCAUCCUCAUUUUGUUUUGUCCAAUUUCUAGCAACUUUCUGAAAUGUCGAUGUCAUUGAAAAGGAACCAGUGGAUCUCCAGCACUUGAACAAAUUAUCCUCGGGCCAGUACCGAGCCCUGUGGCUGUCCAGUUUCUAGCAACCAACCCUUCCCUCCAUCCUCCCGUCUCCUACUGGCUUAUUUUCAGGAAUGGAUAAUGUUGUUUAUUUGUUCAGCCAAAUAUUUGGUCUGGGGAAUUUACCAUGAAAUUCUGUGAAUUGCAUAUACCUAGUUAACAAAAUAGUCCUAAUGCCACAAAUGUUAGCAUGGAAAACAAAGAGCUAUGGCCAGCGUUAACUCUUUAAAUUCUGUUUGAAAGCUUAGUCCUAAGGCUCGGGGAGAUUUAAAAAAAAAGGUGGGGGGAUGUGUGAAGAUUAUUUAAUUUAGGUUUUGGUAUUUAAUAUUUUUGCCUAAUAGUGCAGUACCUUAGGGAAGUCGUAAGGUGAUUCUCGGCGUUGCUUUUGGAUCAAGCCUACCAUUUCUCCCGCUUCAUGUUUUUUUUUCUUUCUCCAGAGUAAUGUUCCUAUUACUUAAAGAAAGAUGAGGAAGGAGGCUCGUCCUUGAGGAGUUCCGCAAAGUCGUAACCACAAACGAAGAGGUGCUUGGUCGAUCCCUACCCAACCCUUAAACUGGAACCAGCUUCCUAGGAGCUUAAGAUUAAAAAAAAAGAAAGAAAAGGAAAGAAAGAAAAAAGUGGGGGGUGGGGUGGGGAGGGACGCAUUAAACAUUCCCCUGCUUUCGUUGCAUAAUUCGCCCGGAACCUGCCAGGUGACCUGCUGACUUUGUUUUCUGUCUUGACCGUGCUUCGUUCCACCAACCCCCUCGCCGCCUGGCUGCGCCACACUGAGAGGGCUCCGCGCGGCCGCGGCGCUGGCAGACCCCAAUAGUCACCCGGCCUUGGACAGGCGUCAAGAUCCGGCCCCAGUGGCCCCGCCUCCCGCCCGCUCCGGCGCUCUCGGGCCGGGCGGCGGCGGGGGCACCAGGGGGCGUCUUCCCUGCGGGGGACCAGGGGACCGUGCUUGUGGCGGCGGCGCUCAGGAGCCGCGCUGCGGGAGUCCACCCCUCCCCAUCCCCGCGGACUGCGGACUACGGGUCCCACCGCCGGGACCCACAACCCGGCCCGCUCCUGCGCCCUCGGGGAGCCAGGGCUCAGGUGAAGCUCUUCAGAGAAAGACGUAUCUCAUUAUCGCUCUCGGGUCCUCGGGGCGGUCUCUCGGCAGAUUUCACGUGAAAUUGGGUCAAACGGCCGCGCAGAAGCGUGGAGUCUGCCGGGCAGGCUCCUCAUGGUGGAGGGGCUUAAGAGGGGCCGAGACCUUUAGGAGUUUUGUGUAGAGGGCGGAGAAUUAGCGGGAAUGAGGGAGUGAGGGUCUCCAGCCUCCGAGCUCACGGUGGGCCUAAAUACCCGGGUGGCUCAACGGGAGCGGGGACGUGGAAGAGUGCGAAACAGGCCCGCUGGGUGAGGGUCGGGCGUGCGACAGGCCCAGGAGGCUGAGCUGCUGUCUCGGGCCCCUUGGGGACGCGGAGAGCCCUGGGUCCUAGCUGAACUGCCGCCAGGCCCCCGCUCCCAACAGUCGGGGGAGGGAGGGGAAAGAGAGGCCACCGGUGUGCAAGAGUGGAGUUGGCCGACGGCUUUCAGAAAUGAGAUCCAAGCCCGUGAUGCAGAAUGACAGCGCCUCAGUUGACCUCCGCAGGGCCUCUGGCCCGGGGACUCACCGUGCCCGCCCUCACUCCCCCUCCAAAGAUGGAGUUUCGCUCUUCUUACCCAGGCUGGAGUGCAAUGGCACGAUCUUGGCUCACCGCAACCUCCGCCUCCUGGUUUCAAGUGAUUCUCCUGCCUCAGCCUCCCGAGUAGCUUGGACUACAGAGAGAGUCAAUGUCAUAAUAGUGUUUAGGAAUGAACACUCUGGAACCAGAUUACUUGGAUUUGAAUCCCUGUUGUACCAUGUGUCAGCUGUGGGGCACUGGGUAAGUUACUUAAUUU
Non-coding RNA from Callithrix jacchus (white-tufted-ear marmoset), 3520 nucleotides. Lineage: Eukaryota; Metazoa; Chordata; Mammalia; Primates; Cebidae. The record is from RefSeq and is a predicted model, not a curated record.